UACAGAGGUCCCAAGCGUUGUUCGGAUUCACUGGGCGUAAAGGGUGCGUAGGUGGCUUCGUAAGUCCGUUGUGAAAGUCAAAGGCCCAACCUUUGAAAGCCGAUGGAUACUGCGGAGCUAGAGUACGGAAGAGGCGAGUGGAAUUCCUGGUGUAGCGGUGAAAUGCGCAGAUAUCAGGAGGAACACCAAUGGCGAAGGCAGCUCGCUGGAACGGUACUGACGCUGAGGCGCGAAAGCGUGGGGAGCGAACAGG
This 253-nucleotide ribosomal RNA is filed under the name uncultured bacterium. RNAcentral describes it as "partial 16S ribosomal RNA". It matches the Rfam family "Bacterial small subunit ribosomal RNA", at positions 524 to 776 of the family's 1533-position model. The record is from RNAcentral.